Podarcis lilfordi (Lilford's wall lizard) is the source of this 102-nucleotide non-coding RNA. The record is from the annotation of a GenBank genome assembly. NCBI's taxonomy places the organism in Eukaryota, Metazoa, Chordata, Lepidosauria, Squamata, Lacertidae.
GUCUCUUCCAACUCUAUGAUUCUAUGAUUCUAUGAUUCUAUGAUGGUUGUUUUUGCAUCUCAUAGAAUCAUAGAAUCAUAGAAUCAUAGAGUUGGAAGAGAC